AACGAACGCUGGCGGCAUGCCUAACACAUGCAAGUCGAACGAGACCUUCGGGUCUAGUGGCGCACGGGUGCGUAACGCGUGGGAACCUGCCCUUAGGUUCGGAAUAACUCCCCGAAAGGGGUGCUAAUACCGGAUAAUGUCUUCGGACCAAAGAUUUAUCGCCUUUGGAUGGGCUCGCGUUGGAUUAGCUAGUUGGUAGGGUAAAAGCCUACCAAGGCGACGAUCCAUAGCUGGUCUGAGAGGAUGAUCAGCCACACUGGGACUGAGACACGGCCCAGACUCCUACGGGAGGCAGCAGUGGGGAAUAUUGGACAGUGGGCGAAAGCCUGAUCCAGCAAUGCCGCGUGAGUGAUGAAGGCCUUAGGGUUGUAAAGCUCUUUUACCCGGGAUGAUAAUGACAGUACCGGGAGAAUAAGCUCCGGCUAACUCCGUG
Molecule: ribosomal RNA, 433 nt
Filed under: uncultured bacterium
Lineage: Bacteria
Description: partial 16S ribosomal RNA
Rfam family: Bacterial small subunit ribosomal RNA
Source: RNAcentral